This 481-nucleotide ribosomal RNA is filed under the name uncultured bacterium. RNAcentral describes it as "bacterial SSU rRNA". It matches the Rfam family "Bacterial small subunit ribosomal RNA", at positions 33 to 507 of the family's 1533-position model. The record is from RNAcentral.
AGGACGACGCUGGCGGCGUGCCUAAUACAUGCAAGUCGAGCGGGGAUUAUGCUUGAUCGCUUCGGUGAGACGGCAUAUAUCCUAGCGGCGGACGGGUGAGUAACGCGUGGGUAAUCUACCUCGUAGUUCGGGAUAACAGGCCGAAAGGCUUGCUAAUACCGGAUGAGUUCAUGCUUAUGCAUAUAGGCAUGAAGAAAGGGCUAGCCUGCUAUGAGAUGAGCCCGCGUCCCAUUAGCUUGUUGGUGGGGUAAUGGCCUACCAAGGCAACGAUGGGUAGCCGGCCUGAGAGGGUGUACGGCCACACUGGGACUGAGACACGGCCCAGACUCCUACGGGGGGCAGCAGUAGGGAAUUUUCGGCAAUGGGCGAAAGCCUGACCGAGCGACGCCGCGUGAGGGACGAAGGCCUUCGGGUUGUAAACCUCUGUCUGGGGGGAUGAGAACGGACGGUACCCCCGGAGGAAGCCCCGGCUAACUACGUG